UCGAACGAAGCUUGACGGAUGAUUUCUUCGGAAUGAAACCAGAUAUGACUUAGUGGCGGACGGGUGAGUAACACGUGAGCAACCUGCCUUUCAGAGGGGGAUAACGGCUGGAAACGGUCGCUAAUACCGCAUGAUGUGUUCGGAUGGCAUCAUCUGAACAUCAAAGAUUUAUCGCUGAAAGAUGGGCUCGCGUCUGAUUAGAUAGUUGGUGGGGUAACGGCCUACCAAGUCAACGAUCAGUAGCCGGACUGAGAGGUUGAACGGCCACAUUGGGACUGAGAUACGGCCCAGACUCCUACGGGAGGCAGCAGUGGGGAAUAUUGCACAAUGGGGGAAACCCUGAUGCAGCAACGCCGCGUGAAGGAUGACGGUUUUCGGAUUGUAAACUUCUUUUCUUAGUGACGAAGACAGUGACGGUCGCUAAGGAAUAAGCAUCGGCUAACUACGUGCCAGCAGCCGCGGUAAUACGUAGGAUGCAAGCGUUAUCCGGAUUUACUGGGUGUAAAGGGAGCGCAGGCGGGACUGCAAGUUGGAUGUGAAAUACCGUGGCUUAACCACGGAACUGCAUCCAAAACUGUAGUUCUUGAGUGAAGUAGAGGCAAGCGGAAUUCCGAGUGUAGCGGUGAAAUGCGUAGAUAUUCGGAGGAACACCAGUGGCGAAGGCGGCUUGCUGGGCUCUAACUGACGCUGAGGCUCGAAAGUGUGGGGAGCAAACAGGAUUAGAUACCCUGGUAGUCCACACUGUAAACGAUGAUAGCUAGGUGUGGGGGGUCUGACCCCUUCCGUGCCGGAGUUAACGCAAUAAGCUAUCCACCUGGGGAGUACGACCGCGAGGUUGCAACUCAAAGGAAUUGACGG
RNAcentral lists this ribosomal RNA (858 nucleotides) under uncultured Bacillota bacterium. RNAcentral describes it as "bacterial SSU rRNA". It matches the Rfam family "Bacterial small subunit ribosomal RNA", at positions 62 to 916 of the family's 1533-position model. Lineage: Bacteria; Bacillati; Bacillota. The record is from RNAcentral.